Molecule: ribosomal RNA, 886 nt
Filed under: uncultured bacterium
Lineage: Bacteria
Description: bacterial SSU rRNA
Rfam family: Bacterial small subunit ribosomal RNA
Source: RNAcentral
GACGAACGCUGGCGGCGUGCCUAAUACAUGCAAGUAGAACGCUGAAGACUUUAGCUUGCUAAAGUUGGAAGAGUUGCGAACGGGUGAGUAACGCGUAGGUAACCUGCCUACUAGCGGGGGAUAACUAUUGGAAACGAUAGCUAAUACCGCAUAACAGCAUUUAACCCAUGUUAGAUGCUUGAAAGGAGCAAUUGCUUCACUAGUAGAUGGACCUGCGUUGUAUUAGCUAGUUGGUGAGGUAACGGCUCACCAAGGCGACGAUGCAUAGCCGACCUGAGAGGGUGAUCGGCCACAUUGGGACUGAGACACGGCCCAAACUCCUACGGGAGGCAGCAGUAGGGAAUCUUCGGCAAUGGACGAAAGUCUGACCGAGCAACGCCGCGUGAGUGAAGAAGGUUUUCGGAUCGUAAAACUCUGUUGGUAGAGAAGAACGUUGGUGAGAGUGGAAAGCUCAUCAAGUGACGGUAACUAACCAGAAAGGGACGGCUAACUACGUGCCAGCAGCCGCGGUAAUACGUAGGUCCCGAGCGUUGUCCGGAUUUAUUGGGCGUAAAGCGAGCGCAGGCGGUUUAAUAAGUCUGAAGUUAAAGGCAGUGGCUUAACCAUUGUUCGCUUUGGAAACUGUUAGACUUGAGUGCAGAAGGGGAGAGUGGAAUUCCAUGUGUAGCGGUGAAAUGCGUAGAUAUAUGGAGGAACACCGGUGGCGAAAGCGGCUCUCUGGUCUGUAACUGACGCUGAGGCUCGAAAGCGUGGGGAGCAAACAGGAUUAGAUACCCUGGUAGUCCACGCCGUAAACGAUGAGUGCUAGGUGUUAGGCCCUUUCCGGGGCUUAGUGCCGCAGCUAACGCAUUAAGCACUCCGCCUGGGGAGUACGACCGCAAGGUUG